RNAcentral lists this unclassified non-coding RNA (225 nucleotides) under plant metagenome. Its description in RNAcentral is "partial contains small subunit ribosomal RNA, internal transcribed spacer 1, and 5.8S ribosomal RNA". The record is from RNAcentral.
UUUCCGUAGGUGAACCUGCGGAAGGAUCAUUAGUGAAUUGAAUAUGUUAGCGGACCUCUUCGGAGUCCCUAGCAUCAAAUCAUAUCCAUAACACCUGUGACCUGUAAGGCUGUCUUGAAGACGAAAGUGAUUAGAGCGCCUGCCAAUUUUAUACAAACAUUAAAGUAACAACCGUAGUAUUAUUAUAAUCUAAUAAAACUUUCAACAACGGAUCUCUUGGCUCUC